Molecule: long non-coding RNA, 1727 nt
Organism: Leptopilina boulardi
Lineage: Eukaryota; Metazoa; Arthropoda; Insecta; Hymenoptera; Figitidae
Exons: 4
Source: RefSeq, a predicted model, not a curated record
UUCUUGUCGAUCUUGUUAAAUAAUAAUCAGUUUUUUAUGAUUCCAAGUAUUAUUAUAUUAAUUCAGAGUAAAAUUUGUCGUUUUUUCUCACUAAAUAUUGAUCAUCGUAAUUAGUGAACGUUCUUUUAUUAUCAAUGAAUAAAUUUUUGUAUGGAAAUCUUAUCCAGUGUUUUUUUGAUGGGUGUUUGUUGCGGAGCAGCUCCUGGAGGAGAUCUUGCAUGGCUGAGCGCAGUUCAAUACAGUUGGUGCAGUGCAGAGGAAGUUUCGUCUUUUUGCUGUCAUCGUAUCUAUCUUUCACAGUGUGUAAAUAAGUGAAAAGUGUGCUCAAGAAAGAAAGGACAUGAAGGAAGGAUGUGGACGAAGAAAAGUGGCCCCAGCAUGCUGCCAUAUUAUUUUCCAAAUGUAGUCUAUUUUUUUUUAUUUUAUUUUUUUGCUGGCAGCAUCCCCCCCGACCUGUGCAGAAGUGCAGGAAGAGACAGGGAUCUCGGGGGUGGUCCAAGAAGAAGCCAAGGUAGGGGCAUUGGUUAUCAUUGCUCCAACGUUGGAUCGCCGAUCGGUGAGUCGUAUUUUUGUUUAAAACCUUCCCUGUUUUAAUUUGUUUCUUUAAUCAAUUUUCUUUGCAUCAAAAAAUUAAUUACAAUGAAAUUUAAUUCAUAAAAUGAAAAUUAAUUUGUUUUUAAUAUUUUUAAUUUAUUAAUUUUUGGAAUAAUUUUUUCUACAUUACGAAAAAAUGAAUGAAUUAUAUUAUAUUAUAUUCAUUCAAUCGUAAUAUUAAAAACAGGGAGGGAAUCCUUUCAACAUGGUGACAUCAUUGACAAAAUUUAUUAUUUUAUGUAGUAAUUUUUAUAAUUACUAUUUUGUCUCGAAAUUUGAAUUGUUGGUUAAAAAUAACUAAUUGUUAGCAAAAGCUUGGCUCACUUUUUUUUUAUCAAUUCUUUAACAAUAACUAAAUUUCAGUAAAAUAUUAAAUAAAAUUUUUUUUUUAUUUUAUAAAAAUUUUUUUUUUUUAAUUCUUUAGUGAUUUGUUACUUCCAAUUAAAUAAUUAGUAGAAACUAUUUGAAUCAGUGACUGAUUUUUUUGCUAUCAAUUUACAGUUAUUUUUGAUUAAUUCAAAUUAAGAGAAUGAAUUAAUAUUUUUGUCAAUUUUUUCUUCUUUAUUGUUAUUGUUUGUGUAUGUAUGUGUAUGAUUUUGAGCUCAGGUGACGGUAACGGUCCCGGGACGUUAGCCCUAGUUUAGGUCCUUUGCACCUGGGCGGUAUGUGAGAUUCGGCGUUUGAAAAAUAAAAUUUUUUAUUUUAAAUAUAGCUAUAGGUAGGAAGGAAUAGCUUUUUUUUGUAUGAGUGUGUUUUAUUUCGAUUUAAAUUUACGGGCAGGUAGGAAAAUCAGGAAUACACACAUAAUUUGUGUGUGUCACAUUUACUGGUGAAUCCAGUAAAAUAUACUUUACUAUUUUCUUUAUGUCACUAUGUUGUUGGGAUAUAUUAUUUCUUGAUUUUCUUUCUGAAUUGUAUAUUAAAUAUUUUUUGUUUGUUUAAUUAUUUUCUUUUUCAGUUAUUUUGGUGAGAAAUAUUUUUAUGUUUUUUUAUCUUUUUAAUUCUAUUGUUUAUUUUUCAGGAAUUUAUUAAUUAAUUUUUAUUUAUUUUCAGUUUUUUUCUAGAAAAUGAUUACAAAUAUUAUAACACAUUCUCUAGAAUUUAUAAUAUUUUGUAAUUAUAGUAUUAUAUAA